CAGUAGCCGCGGUAAGACAGAGGAUGCAAGCGUUAUCCGGAAUGAUUGGGCGUAAAGCGUCUGUAGGUGGCUUUUCAAGUCCGCCGUCAAAUCCCAGGGCUCAACCCUGGACAGGCAGUGGAAACUACGAAGCUGGAGUACGGUAGGGGCAGAGAGAAUUUCCGGUGGAGCGGUGAAAUGCGUUGAGAUCGGAAAGAAUACCAACGGCGAAAGCACUCUGCUGGGCCGACACUGACACUGAGAUACGAAAGCUAGGGGAGCAAAUGGGAUUAGAUACCCGCGUAGUCCCUGUCUCAUACAC
This 301-nucleotide ribosomal RNA is filed under the name uncultured bacterium. RNAcentral describes it as "partial 16S ribosomal RNA". It matches the Rfam family "Bacterial small subunit ribosomal RNA", at positions 509 to 809 of the family's 1533-position model. The record is from RNAcentral.